GGGGGUGAUCAGCUUUGACAAAAGAAUACUUUUUGAUUCGUGCGAAGUAAGAGCUUGUGUAACUCUUUCAAAAAGGCACAAAAACAUACGUGCAGAUAAUACUCGCGUAAGCGUAAAAUCACCAUACUUCGGUGUGAAUGAUUUUGCGUUCGCUCUCGCGUAAGCCAGAGCGACGUCUCGCUUCCAGACAUCCGAUAAGGAAGUUGGGGUGUAAUAAAUUUCGGGUUUGGAUUAUUUGUUUUCCUUAGCUCAUAAUCUGCAAUUAAUAAGGAUCGGGUUUGGAGGGUUUUGAUUGUUUCUACUUCCCUGCCCUAAAACACCAAACAAUAUACGCUUUGUAGAAUCGAUCAAAAACUUUUUUUGGACGGGAGUUCAACCUCCCCACCUCCACAA
RNAcentral lists this transfer-messenger RNA (393 nucleotides) under Candidatus Campbellbacteria bacterium CG22_combo_CG10-13_8_21_14_all_36_13. It matches the Rfam family "transfer-messenger RNA". Rfam says of the family: Bacterial tmRNA, also known as 10Sa RNA or SsrA, is named for its dual tRNA and mRNA-like properties. RNAcentral also lists the same sequence under 1 other name. Lineage: Bacteria; Candidatus Campbelliibacteriota. The record is from RNAcentral.